UACGUAGGGGGCAAGCGUUGUCCGGAAUCAUUGGGCGUAAAGCGCGUGUAGGCGGCUCGGUAAGUCCGCUCUGAAAGUCCAGGGCUCAACCCUGGGAUGCGGGUGGAUACUGCCGGGCUCGAGUCCGGAAGAGGCGAGUGGAAUUCCCGGUGUAGCGGUGAAAUGCGCAGAUAUCGGGAAGAACACCCGUGGCGAAGGCGGUUCUCUGGGACGGUACUGACGCUGAGACGCGAAAGCGUGGGGAGCGAACAGG
Molecule: ribosomal RNA, 253 nt
Filed under: uncultured bacterium
Lineage: Bacteria
Description: partial 16S ribosomal RNA
Rfam family: Bacterial small subunit ribosomal RNA
Source: RNAcentral